ACAAGUAUAAUAAAAACCAAAAGCAGCAGAAACAGAAGCGACCAAAGCAUCAACAACAGGAAUAAAAGGAAUAAACAGAAGCUACCACAACAACAACAACAAUAGAAUCCUUUAAAUUUGAAAAAUUAAAGAAAAAAGAAUAAAAAAUUGAAACAGAUGGAAAGGGUUGUGGCGGUGAUGGUGGAGGAGGGGCUGCAACAAUGAACAACGAUGUGGAGGAAGAAGGGUUGCGGCGGUGAACAACGAUGUGGAGGAGGAGGGGUUGCGGCGGUGGUGGAGGAGGAGGGGUUGCCGCGCUCCUCUCUUCUCUUUCUCUCUCCCUCUGCUCUCUCCUCUCUUGCCAUUAGUGUAGGGAGCAGUGGCAGAUCACAGGCAGCGGUGCGGCGGUGCGGCGGUGCCG
Molecule: long non-coding RNA, 400 nt
Filed under: Arachis ipaensis
Lineage: Eukaryota; Viridiplantae; Streptophyta; Magnoliopsida; Fabales; Fabaceae
Description: long non-coding RNA (AIPA_LNC001326)
Source: RNAcentral